GGGGGUGUAAAGGUUUCGACGGGGGUGUAGAACCAGAAUAAGCGAGCCGUAGUUGCCAAGUCUACGUAAAAAGUGGCACGUUAAAGAUAAACGGAAAAACUAACAACAAUUACGCAUUAGCAGCUUAGUCUGCCCGCGUCGUCAGCCCUGAUUCACCUGUAGGUCAGGAACCUGGCGUCGAUAUACAGGAAAACUUCGCGUGAACGCCCGGCAGCGCGAGGGACUUACGGGAUAGCCGAUUCCGCAGAUUGCCGGCGGACUGCGGAUGAAGCGAAACAAAGAUCACCGGCUGCGCUCGGAGAAAGUUCUGCGGAAAUGCUUUCGGACGCGGGUUCGAUUCCCGCCACCUUCACCA
This 355-nucleotide transfer-messenger RNA is filed under the name Eubacteriales Family XIII. Incertae Sedis bacterium. It matches the Rfam family "transfer-messenger RNA". Rfam says of the family: Bacterial tmRNA, also known as 10Sa RNA or SsrA, is named for its dual tRNA and mRNA-like properties. Its role is to liberate the mRNA from a stalled ribosome. The record is from RNAcentral. Lineage: Bacteria; Bacillati; Bacillota; Clostridia; Peptostreptococcales; Anaerovoracaceae.